This 549-nucleotide ribosomal RNA is filed under the name uncultured bacterium. RNAcentral's name for it is "bacterial SSU rRNA". It matches the Rfam family "Bacterial small subunit ribosomal RNA", at positions 355 to 896 of the family's 1533-position model. The record is from RNAcentral.
UGGGGAAUAUUGGACAAUGGGCGAAAGCCUGAUCCAGCCAUGCCGCGUGUGUGAAGAAGGCCUUAUGGUUGUAAAGCACUUUAAGUGGGGAGGAAAAGCUUAUGGAUAACACCCAUAGGUUCUGACGUUACCCACAGAAUAAGCACCGGCUAACUCUGUGCCAGCAGCCGCGGUAAUACAGAGGGUGCAAGCGUUAAUCGGAAUUACUGGGCGUAAAGCGAGCGUAGGUGGUUUAUUAAGUCAGAUGUGAAAUCCCUGGGCUUAACCUAGGAACUGCAUCUGAUACUGAUAAACUAGAGUAGGUGAGAGGAAAGUAGAAUUCCAGGUGUAGCGGUGAAAUGCGUAGAGAUCUGGAGGAAUACCGAUGGCGAAGGCAGCUUUCUGGCAUCAUACUGACACUGAGGUUCGAAAGCAUGGGUAGCAAACAGGAUUAGAUACCCUGGUAGUCCACGCCGUAAACGAUGUCUACCAGUCGUUGGGUCUUUUAAAGGCUUAGUGACGCAGUUAACGCGAUAAGUAGACCGCCUGGGGAGUACGGCCGCAAGGUUA